UUCCGGUUGAUCCUGCCGGAGGUCACUGCUAUUGGGGUCCGACUAAGCCAUGCGAGUCGAGAGGGGUUAAGCCCUCGGCGAACUGCUCAGUAACACGUGGGUAAUCUACCCUCAGGACAGGGAUAACCCCGGGAAACUGGGGAUAAUACCUGAUAGGUGAAGAUGUCUGGAACGAUUCUUCGCCCAAAGCUCCGGCGCCUGAGGAUGAGCCUGCGGCUGAUUAGGUUGUUGGCGGUGUAACGGACCACCAAGCCAAAGAUCAGUACGGGCACUGAGAGGUGUAGCCCGGAGAUGGGGUCUGAGACACGGCCCCAGGCCCUACGGGGCGCAGCAGGCGCGAAAACUCCGCAAUACGCGAAAGCGUGACGGGGGGACCCCAAGUGCGUCAUCGCAAGAUGGUGCUUUUUUAGAGUGUAAACAGCUCUAAGAAUAAAAGCGGGGUAAGACCGGUGCCAGCCGCCGCGGUAACACCGGCCGCUUGAGUGGUGACCGCUAUUACUGGGCCUAAAGCGUUCGUAGCCGGUUUGGUAAGUCCUUGGGUAAAUCCUGGCGUUCCACGUUAGGAAUUCCAGGGAUACUGCCUGACUCGGGGCCGAGAGAAGUCGGAGGUACUCCCGGGGUAGUGGUGAAAUACUGUAAUCCUGGGGGGACCACCAGUGGCGAAGGCGUCCGACUAGAGCGGGCUCGACGGUGAGGAACGAAAGCCAGGGGAGCGAACGGGAUUAGAUACCCCGGUAGUCCUGGCCGUAAACGCUGUGGGCUAGGUGUUGCAUGCUCUACGGGGGCGUGCAGUGCCGAAGAGAAGUUGAUAAGCCUACCGCCUGGGAAGUACCCUCGCAAGUUGGAAACUUAAAGGAAUUGGCGGGGGAGCACCACAAGGGGUGAAGUCUCGGUUCAAUUGGAUUCAACGCCGG
RNAcentral lists this ribosomal RNA (914 nucleotides) under uncultured archaeon. RNAcentral's name for it is "bacterial SSU rRNA". It matches the Rfam family "Archaeal small subunit ribosomal RNA", at positions 1 to 921 of the family's 1478-position model. The record is from RNAcentral.